This is a long non-coding RNA of Schistocerca gregaria, 379 nucleotides long. RefSeq lists it as uncharacterized. The transcript has 3 exons. The record is from RefSeq and is a predicted model, not a curated record. Lineage: Eukaryota; Metazoa; Arthropoda; Insecta; Orthoptera; Acrididae.
UAGAUUAUUUUUUAGAAGGCGGUUGAUAAGGCAUUCAGUGUUUUUGAGUAAACCGUGAAAGAACAAAAUUUUAUACCAUGUCAGACGAAUCAAACAGGAGCUGUGGCGCAAAGGGUAUGGCGAACACUUGCUGCCAACGAAGUGGAUGCUGCGGCAAAGAGGCGUCAAUGAACCAAUGCAAAUGUGAGAAGUGCGAAUGUAAACCGGGAGAUCGCUGUGGUGACCCCAAAUGCGUCAAGAGUUCGUGUGGAUGCUCCAGAGAUGAGAGUGGCGGUGUCCAGAAUUGCGAAUGUAAGCCUGGAAGAUGCGAAUGCAACGCCCACUAAGCGAUGUAAUGUGUGUUACUCUUUCUUAAUAAACGAAUACAUAGAGUACACCA